UGAAAAUAUAUUUAUUCUUGUAUAUAAGCUUUAAUGUGGUAAGCAAGUUUCUACCCCAUAACCGUAAAUAUUGGGACUACGAGAAAAGAUA
This 91-nucleotide non-coding RNA is filed under the name pig gut metagenome. RNAcentral's name for it is "Purine riboswitch". It matches the Rfam family "Purine riboswitch aptamer", at positions 6 to 94 of the family's 102-position model. From Rfam's summary of the family: Riboswitches are metabolite binding domains within certain messenger RNAs that serve as precision sensors for their corresponding targets. Allosteric rearrangement of mRNA structure is mediated by ligand binding, and this results in modulation of gene expression. The record is from RNAcentral.